UACGGAGGGUGCAAACGUUGCUCGGAAUCAUUGGGCGUAAAGCGCACGUAGGCGGCCUGUUAAGUCGGGUGUGAAAGCCCUGGGCUCAACCCAGGAAGUGCACUCGAAACUGGCGGGCUAGAGUAUCGGAGAGGUUGGUGGAAUUCUCGGUGUAGAGGUGAAAUUCGUAGAUAUCGAGAGGAACACCGGUGGCGAAGGCGGCCAACUGGACGAAUACUGACGCUGAGACACGAAAGCGUGGGGAGCAAACAGG
This 253-nucleotide ribosomal RNA is filed under the name uncultured bacterium. RNAcentral's name for it is "partial 16S ribosomal RNA". It matches the Rfam family "Bacterial small subunit ribosomal RNA", at positions 524 to 776 of the family's 1533-position model. The record is from RNAcentral.